AAACCUUCUCUCAUCAUAACAGAGUUGAAUUUUACAUUCCAGUAUUUUGGGGAUUUCUUAAGGCCAUACAGAGACCGAUUUAACUUAACAAUAUUCUCACCAUUGUUAUAUGCACCUUCAGGUAAUUUUAAAUACACAUCUUCCUCUAUAUCACCAUACCAAAAAGCCCCUGUUACAUCCAUUUGUGAGACUGGUAAGUUAAGUUUUGUUGCUACUGCUAAAAAUUAUCUAAAUGUCGACAAUUUUGCUACAGGUGCAUAAAUAUUAUUGAAAUCUAAUAUAUCAUCUUGCUCGAACCCCCGAGCUACUAAUCUAAAGUAACCGUCACGAGAAGCUAUAAAUUAUGUAAACAAACAUCUUUUACUAAGUAAACAUUUGAUACUGCGAGAUAAUAAUAACUUGAACAUAUUCAAUCGACAUGAAAUAUAGACGGGUUAUAUGAAAGUAACAACCUAUUUAAUUUAGUCGAAUUAUAUUUUAACGACGCAAAGCGCUAUCGUUUGUGUUCCUUGGUACCGGAACGCGUCCGUCGCAGGGAUUGUAAACUAUCGGGACGCCAUUUUGAAAUAAACAGUUAUUCGAGUUUCGAAUGCUUACGAGUUUGUUUCAUUGCUUUGCAUAUAUCGCGGAUCUGGUUGUUAUUGUUUCGUUAUCACUUUUUAAUUGUUGUAAUUUAAAUUGUUGCGAUGUUGCGUUAAUUUUAUAUAAUAACGAAAUGUUUAAUUGUUUUUACAGGACAUACCGUAAAUAAAACUUGGGUAGACAAACAAGUUAAAAGUAAGAAGCAGGCUUUCCUAGAAGGACUUAGCAUUUGUGCACCUAACCCAACGUCAAAAGGUAAACGAUUAAUAAUUACCCAUAUCGGCAAUGAGAACGGUUUUGUAGAGGGCGGCGAAAAUAUAUUUGAAUGCAAGAAGACGGGAGAUUACCAUGAAUCAAUGGAUGCAACACAUUUUGAACAAUGGUUUGAAAACGUUCUCCCAAAACUUGGAGAAAAUGCAGUAGUGGUAAUGGACAAUGCACCAUACCACUCAAGGCGUCUUGAAAGAAUUCCUACUACAGCCUGGAAAAAAAAUGAUAUACAAAAUUGGCUUGUAAGUAAGAAUAUUUCUUACGACGACAAUGAAAUUAAGACUGAAUUACUGCUAAAAGUAAAAAAUGUUAAAGACCAUUUUAAAAUUUAUGUAGUGGACGAGCUCGCAAAAAAAUAUAAGGUGGAAGUAUUGAGACUCCCGCCAUAUCAUUGUGAGCUUAAUCCAAUUGGCCCAAAUUAGGCCCAACGUAAAAGGAUAUGUUGCUCGCAAAAAUACAAAUUUUAAAUUUGACGAGGUAAAACAAUUAUUACAAGAGGGACUGAGGCAGAUUACUUCGGAAAAUUGGAAGCGUUGUGUGGAGCAUGUUAUCAAGGAAGAAGAUAACUUUUAUUCCAAAAUCGAUGAGAUGAUUGAUAAAACUGUAGACAGCUUCGUGAUACAUGUCACUGAUUCUGACACAGAAAUGGAAACAUCUGAAUCUGACGAAUAAUUAUUCUGAAAUAAUAUAUGUUAAUUAAUAUUUGUUAAUUAAUAAAUUAUUAAAUCUUAAACAAAUUCUUUUUUUUUUUUUGUUGGUCCAAAUGUUGUGAACUCCUGAACACUUGUUUACAAAAUUUAUAGCUUCUCGUGACGGGGACUUUAGCUUUAUAUUGCAAAGUAUUAUUAUUACUCUUAAUCUUAAACACCCAUUUACUACUAACAGCCUUAGUAUUAUCUGGUAAGUUACAACAUUAUUUUCCUUGAGAGUUUGUAGUUCUUUUUGUAUAGCUUCUUUCCACUUACAAGAGUCCGGGCUUCUCAUGGCUUCUUCAAAUGUCUUAGGCUCACUGUCAGACACCAAAGCGUUGUGACAUUCAUAAAACAUAGUCUGCUUCCUUGCACGAUUUCCUUGCCGUCUGGUGGUUAUUUCAUUACCACUUUGUCCACUCGAGUCCCCGCUUUCACUUGGCUCAUACAAGCUUCCCUCACUUUCUGUACCACUACUAGUUUCUUGAUUACUGUCCUCUGGAGGGUUUAAACUCGUUUCUUCAUUUGGCUCUUGUGUUUCACUGGCUUCACUGGCUGAUAACUGUACAGGUAGAUCAUAUAAGUUGCUAUCAGACUUUCCUACAUCACUCUGAUUAUUUUCCAGGAAAACAAUAUCUCUUCUUAUUUCAACACUAUCACUGCAAGGGAAAUAUACUCGAUAUCCCUUGGUUGUUUCUCCAUAUCCCACCAGGAAACCCUUUUCUCCUUUUGGGUCCCACUUCUUCCUCUGUACUUUUGGUAUAUGGACGAUAACAGUAGUACCAAAUAUUUUUAGGUUAUUUAUAUCAUAUCGACGCCUCCCACGCAAAUAGUCGGAACAUUAUUUUUUAUGAAAAUAUUUUUUUUAUGCCAUUAGAACCCUGACAAACAGUAUUUCAUAUUCCCGAAAUCCAAAUUGAUAAAUAAUUUAUAAAUAAUGAGUUUUUGAAUCGAUAAUAGUCGUAACAUUUAAACGCUCCCGCGCAUAAAGUCGCGCUGACAGUUCCGACUAUGUGCUCCGAUCUAUUGGACCGCGGCCGGCCAAUCAGCGCACAGUACCGACGUCGUACGACACGAACGACACGAACGAAGUCUCUUAGUUUUAAAUGUUCAAAUAUUUAUGAUUAUGUGUUGUUUUUGUUUACUUUUGAUAACUAACUAACUUAACUUUACUUGUGCAAUUAUAAAUUGGUGAAAUGAGUAACGAACGUUCUUCAAAGAUUUUGAAAUUGGUGUUAGAUAAUCCCAAUUCAAAUAGCGAAGUAUUAACGGCCGGUCAAAAUUUUGAAAAUGGUAAGUUUUACUGUAUUAUCUUAUUAUUAUUGUUCAAUUUACUUGUUUAUAUGUGUGAUAAGAAUAUCAUAAUAAUAUGUUACAGUGUUCUAUAGGACGAAACAAAAAAAAAUUGGUUCCGACGCAUAACGUCGGAACGUCUGUGUUACGACUAUAUGCGUUGUAAUUAAUAAUUAACAGUCAUCAGUUAAGACUUUUUACUACGUAACUAUUUCGUUCUAGGAGUCGUAAAUUAUACUUACGACCUUAUGCGUGGUUGAAAUAUAAAAAUAAUUAAACGUAUAAAGACUGAUCAUAGUCAUACGACUUUAUGCUUUGUUGUAAAUUUGUGAUACGAUACUUUGCUUUUCCAUUAUAGCUAAAAUAUCAUUAAAAUAUUUUUUAACCCUAUAGUUAUAGGGUUAAAAAAAACAAUAUAUUUGUUAUUUGUGCUAACUUUUUAACGAAUGGCCUGUUUUUAUUUUUAGUAUCACCGGUACCACUUGAGGCUGAACACCAGUGGGAGCAAUACAAGACGAUGUUCGGGAACUCUUUUAGUAAUAGUACAGCAAGUAUUGACGACAACUUUGAACUAACUAACUUAGCCGCAAUUUUACCAGUAAUUCCUUCCCCAACUCCUAAGGACUCCGAGCCAUGUGAUGAAGAUUUUUUAAACGAAUCAGCUGAUGUAAUAGAACCUUCAUUCGAUAUGACACCAAUGCCCUCUCCGAAUAAUGACUUUUUGAAAUACAAUGUAGCUUGCACGUCGACUCCAUUAUUUAGUAAUGUAUCUAAUUGCGAAGCUGAUAAUAAUUGUUCAUCCAGUAGUAGUAGAGCCAAUACACCACUGCUCAGUAACGUUUCGAGCCAGGAUUCUUCUGUGUGCUCGUCAAACGAAAGUACGCCGGCCGGCAAGCAAAAUUAUUGGAAGAAAAUGUCGCUGUCGCCAUGAUGAGUGGAAAGACAUAAAAAGAAAAUGUUUAAAAAAUAUGGGAAAAGCGUAUUUAAGUAGGAACGGAGUUCAAAGAGAUGGAAAGAUUUUAAAACAACCAUGUCCGGUUACUUGCCGUCUUAAAUGUUUUCAAAAGUGUGAUGCACAACAACGGGAACGUAUAUUUAAUUCUUUUUGGCGAAUUGGAGAUCACUGUCGACAAUGGGAUUACAUCGUCAACCAUACAGAAGUAGGCGAUACUAAGUAUCCUUCUACUACAAAACUUGUGUCUAGGCGCAAGAAAUCGAUUAAGUAUUGCUUGCCUCUAAUUGAGUCUAAUUCUGACAUACCUAAUAAGGUGUUCGUUUGCAAAACGAUGUUUCUAAACACACUCUCUGUAGGGGAAAGAACUGUUCAAACGGCAUUGGCGAAAUGGAGCUCAGGGGGUGGCUCUGUUUUCCCUGAUCGACGCGGUGGUACCAGAACUAUUGUCAUAGACGACGAAAUAAAACAGGAUGUUUUAAGGCAUGUCAAAACGUUCCAGCCCGUUGAAUCUCAUUAUGUACGUAAAGAUACUACUAAAAUAUACUUAGAUAGUGACCUUACAUUUACAAAAAUGUUUUCUUUGUACAAUGAGUGGUGUAUUACUGAAAAUAUAACUAAAAAAGCAACGACAGUGAGACAAUAUCGAGAUAUCAUUAAUCAAAAUUUGAAUAUAUCAUUUCACAAACCGAAAAAAGAUAUCUGUAACGAAUGCCAUAUUUACAACACAAACAAAGAUACAAUGACAGAAGAAGAAAAACAAAAACAAGAUUAAAGCUAGAGAAAUGAAAGCAAGUGAUAAAAAAGAAGCUUUAGAAAGCGGAGGAAAAAUAGUUACAGCAUGCUUUGAUUUUCAAAAAAUCUUGAACUGUCCUCAUGGCAAUGUUGGUUUAUUUUACUAUAAAAGAAAAUUAUUGAUUUAUAAUUUCACAAUAUUUGAUUUAGCUAGUCAAGAAGGAUUUUGUUACAUGUGGCCUGAAAGUAACGGGAAACACGGGGCAUGUGAAGUCGCAAGUUGCCUAUCCAAAUUUAUUGAAACUAAGGUUAGCCAGGGUGCCAAAGAAUUCCGAUUUUGGUCCGACUACUGUGCCGGUCAAAAUCGAAACCGUAUUGUUAUCGCUUUUUAUACAUAUGCAGCAAAAAAGUAUAAAAUAACAAUAGUUCAUAGGUUUUUAGAGCGUGGGCACACACAGAAUGAAGCCGACUCAGUGCAUGCUCUUAU
Spodoptera frugiperda (fall armyworm) is the source of this 5008-nucleotide RNA transcript. RefSeq lists it as uncharacterized. The record is from RefSeq and is a predicted model, not a curated record. NCBI's taxonomy places the organism in Eukaryota, Metazoa, Arthropoda, Insecta, Lepidoptera, Noctuidae. The transcript has a single exon.